Molecule: ribosomal RNA, 447 nt
Filed under: uncultured bacterium
Lineage: Bacteria
Description: bacterial SSU rRNA
Rfam family: Bacterial small subunit ribosomal RNA
Source: RNAcentral
GGGGCCNGCACAAGCGUUGGAGUAUGUGGUUAAUUCGAUGCACGCGAAGAACCUUACUUGCCUUGACAUUGUCGAAUCCUGCAANAUGCGGAANUNCCCCAGGAACGACAAGACAGUGCUGCUGGCUGUCGUCAGCUCGUGUCGUGAAUGUUGGGUUAAUCCCGCAAGAGCGCACCCUUGUCCCUAGUUGCCAGCACGUAAUGGUGGGAAUCUAGGGAGAUGCCGGUGACAAACCGGAGGAAGGUGGGGAUGACGUCAAGUCCUCAUGGCCCUUACGGCCAGGGCUACACACGUACUACAAUGGUCGGUACAGAGGGUUGCGAAGCCGCGAGGUGGAGCCAAUCCCAGAAAACCGAUCUCAGUCCGGAUUGGAGUCUGCAACUCGACUCCAUGAAGUCGGAUCGCUAGUAANCGCGAAUCAGCUAUGUCGCGGUGAAUACGUUCCCG